This 375-nucleotide ribosomal RNA is filed under the name uncultured bacterium. RNAcentral describes it as "bacterial SSU rRNA". It matches the Rfam family "Bacterial small subunit ribosomal RNA", at positions 28 to 415 of the family's 1533-position model. The record is from RNAcentral.
GACGAACGCUGGCGGCGUGCUUAACACAUGCAAGUCAUGGGGGCCCGCAAGGGCAACCGGCGAACGGGUGCGUAACACGUGAGCAACCUACCGAUUUGUGGGGGAUAGCCGGCCUAACGGCCGGGUAAUACCGCAUACGCUUGUAAGGCCUCCUGGUCUAACAAGGAAAUCUUCGGAGCAGAUCGAGGGGCUCGCGGCCUAUCAGCUAGUUGGCGAGGUCACGGCUCACCAAGGCGACGACGGGAGCUGGUCUGAGAGGAUGGCCAGCCACAUUGGGACUGAGAAACGGCCCAGACUCCUACGGGAGGCAGCAGUGGGGAAUCUUGCGCAAUGGACGAAAGUCUGACGCAGCGACGCCGCGUGGGGGAUGAAGGC